UAGGUCAGGUUUUCCUGUUUUUGUGUGUUAUCGGCAGCUACCCUGGCUCGACUAACGACUAUGUCGUUGUCGCUCGCUGAAAUGUCACAGUGAUUUAUCGUCCGAACGGAAUAGUCAUCGCCGAUAUUUAGAUACAAUUUUUUUCGACGAGGGAGUAUAUUUUAUGCCAUUGAUUUUACUCCAGACGGGUACGCGGUGUAUGUGGAAAAUUGGUAUGAUAUGCGUUGAUUGUAAAAGUAUUAUAAACGAUGUGGGAAUGCUGUAAAAAGAAGAUUUUAACGAAUGUUUAUUCAAUACAAAUUCCUCUUUUCUCAGAAGGAUCAAGAUUUACGUCGAAAACUACUAUAAAAUUUUGAUGGAUUUUACUUUGUAAGUCGAUUUAAUGGCUUUGAGCUAAACAAAGGUUGUAUUUGUAUUUAGCUGUAAUGUAAUAGAAGGUAGUUUAAAUGCUGUUAAGGAUAACAAAGUAAAGAUUAAACAUCUACAAUAAAUAAGUUAAGUACAAUGAACUAAGUUAUUGAUUUUGCUUUAGGUUCUAUUAAUAUACAAUUAGAAAUGAAUAGUUUUGAAGCUCACAAAGCCCUAAUAAGUAUUAUUGAUGUAUAUGCGCUAAUAGCAUAUCUCUUAGUCAA
Molecule: long non-coding RNA, 632 nt
Organism: Melitaea cinxia (Glanville fritillary)
Lineage: Eukaryota; Metazoa; Arthropoda; Insecta; Lepidoptera; Nymphalidae
Exons: 2
Source: RefSeq, a predicted model, not a curated record